This 252-nucleotide ribosomal RNA is filed under the name uncultured bacterium. RNAcentral describes it as "partial 16S ribosomal RNA". It matches the Rfam family "Bacterial small subunit ribosomal RNA", at positions 524 to 776 of the family's 1533-position model. The record is from RNAcentral.
UACGGAGGAUGCGAGCGUUAUCCGGAUUUAUUGGGUUUAAAGGGUGCGCAGGCGGCACGGCAAGCCGGCGGUCAAAUCGCGGGGCUCAACCCCGCCCAGCCGUCGGAACUGCCGGGCUAGAGUGGGCGAGAAGUGCGCGGAAUGCGUGGUGUAGCGGUGAAAUGCAUAGAUAUCGCGCAGAACUCCGAUUGCGAAGGCAGCGUACCGGCGCCAGACUGACGCUGAGGCACGAAAGCGUGGGGAUCGAACAGG